ACAUAGUCCGGAAAUUUAUAAAGUUUUUUAAUAAUUUGUAAAUAAUUCGGCAAUAAUUUGAAAAGAGAUUUUAUUUAAAAAAAUUUGCAUAUUUUUUUGGCCGAAUAGAUUAGAAUACGUGAAUUAUUUGUAAAUAAUAAAUUUAACCUAAAAAUUUGCAUUUUAUUUUAAUUUUUUUGGGAAUAAAUCGCAUUCGCAUUAUCUUAUUCUAAUUUUUAAUAAUUUAUAAAUAAUUCACGUAUUAACUAACUAUGUAAGAGAGUCAAUAAUUGAACUGCCCAUUCAAACAGUUUAAAAAAGUAUUUUUGACUUAUUUAGUUUAUAUAAUU
This 329-nucleotide long non-coding RNA is filed under the name Ananas comosus (pineapple). RNAcentral's name for it is "long non-coding RNA (ACOM_LNC014652)". The record is from RNAcentral. Lineage: Eukaryota; Viridiplantae; Streptophyta; Magnoliopsida; Poales; Bromeliaceae.